This 322-nucleotide ribosomal RNA is filed under the name uncultured eukaryote. Its description in RNAcentral is "partial 18S ribosomal RNA". It matches the Rfam family "Eukaryotic small subunit ribosomal RNA", at positions 1470 to 1796 of the family's 1831-position model. The record is from RNAcentral.
CCCUUAGAUGUUCUGGGCCGCACGCGUGCUACACUGAGUGGAUCAGCGGGUCAGGUUGCGCGAAAGCGUUUCCUAAUCUUGAAAUCCGCUCGUGAUGGGGAUUGACGGUUGCAAUUUUCUGUCAUGAACGAGGAAUACCUUGUAAGCGCGGGUCAUCAUCCCGCGCUGAAUACGUCCCUGCCCUUUGUACACACUGCCCGUCGCUCCUACCGAUUGAGUGGUCCGGUGAGGCUUUGGGAUCUGAGCGGAAAGAGCGUUUCGCUCGUUCUGCCCGGAAAACUCAGUCGAACCUUAUCAUUUAGAGGAAGGAGAAGUCGUAACA